RNAcentral lists this ribosomal RNA (472 nucleotides) under uncultured bacterium. RNAcentral's name for it is "SSU rRNA". It matches the Rfam family "Bacterial small subunit ribosomal RNA", at positions 26 to 518 of the family's 1533-position model. The record is from RNAcentral.
AGGACGAACGCUGGCGGCGUGCUUAACACAUGCAAGUCGAACGGAAAGGCCCUUCGGGGUACUCGAGUGGCGAACGGGUGAGUAACACGUGGGUGAUCUGCCCUGCACUUUGGGAUAAGCCUGGGAAACUGGGUCUAAUACCGGAUAUGAUCACGCGCCUCAUGGUGUGUGGUGGAAAGCUUUUGCGGUGUGGGAUGGGCCCGCGGCCUAUCAGCUUGUUGGUGGGGUAAUGGCCUACCAAGGCGACGACGGGUAGCCGGCCUGAGAGGGUGACCGGCCACACUGGGACUGAGAUACGGCCCAGACUCCUACGGGAGGCAGCAGUGGGGAAUAUUGCACAAUGGGCGCAAGCCUGAUGCAGCGACGCCGCGUGGGGAUGACGGCCUUCGGGUUGUAAACCCUUUCAGCACAGACGAGGCGCGAGUGACGGUAUGUGCAGAAGAAGGACCGGCAACUACGUGCCAGCAGCCGC